CCGAGGGCUGUGCAUUCAAGGUGAGGACGCUAGAAGCCAUGGAGAGUUUUGAAUAAAGGAGGGACAUGAUCCAAAUCCAGGCUUUUAAGGUUUCCCAAAGGACAUUCAAAGGAAGAAUAUCGUAGAGAGGAUGAAGACUUUGGGGUCUUGGGAGGUUGAAUCCUUUUUGUAGCUCACAUAGGUGGUAGAGAUGACAUUUUGCACUGAGACAAGCAGGUCAGACAACCAGCCGUAGGGUUACCUGGUUCCAGGGACAAGAAAGGGUUCAGGGAGGCCUGAGCUUAUCAAAUCCCGUGACAUGUUUGUAAUGUCUGCCUCUCCCCUCAGGCACUCCUGGCUGCAGAAGCACUUAGGGAACCCACACAGGGAAGUGGAGGGUGUUCAAUCCCCUCAUUGGUCUUGACCCCAUCCACAGGUUCUCUAGCUUGUGGUGUGCUGGGACUCUUAAGUGCCAUUUUUUCAGUCCUUUGAUCCGAGGACCCUGGAGAAUCUCUAAAGACAGGAUACUGAGGCCAUGGCAGGUUAUAUGCAAGUAUGCCCAUUUCUGUCAGCCAGUGUAAACACUCUUGUAAGAUUAACCCAG
Molecule: long non-coding RNA, 583 nt
Filed under: Homo sapiens (human)
Lineage: Eukaryota; Metazoa; Chordata; Mammalia; Primates; Hominidae
Description: long non-coding RNA NONHSAT240230
Source: RNAcentral